AAAAAAAAAAAGAAAUCUUAAUUGUAGUGAAGAUAGCCUUUAUGUUUACAUUUGUACAUGAAUGUGGCUGGGUGGAGAAAAUGCAGGCCUUGUGUCUACCUUUUGUUUUUAACCACAUUUGGUUCUACAGUUGCAGAUUUAUGAGAGGCCUUCUUCCUUGGGAGCUUAGUACAGAGGGAACCCCAAAGGGUUGGGUUUGGAAAUGCAAACUGGAGUUUUUGUCAGAAGUCCUGGAAGCAUUGUCUGUGAUCUCAGGAGCAAUGUUGCCUUUUUUUCCUUUUUUUUUUUUCUUCAUAUUUUGAGAACCAGACGGGGUAGUGUUACUGAGAGGUAAUUGAAGUUGGUAGGGAGUAAGAGGUUUUGAAGAAGGCAAGUUUGAUGUUACCAUCAGAUAAUUCAGGGGAAAUGUCUCUUCGCUGUGCUCAAUUCUCAACACAGCAUCCUUCCCAUAAUUCUGAUUUCUAGAGCAAAAAUGCAACUUCUGUAUGCUGGCUCUGUUUAUCAGUAUCCUUCCCAGUUGGAAAGUAGUAAGCCUGGCCUUGGUUCUAGUCAUUUAAGUAAGGGUGGCCUGCUGAUAGCUUAACCCUUCUCAGAAGUGAUCUCUCCUGCUCUGUCUAUGCCUGCAGGUUAGGACUAGGAAUCCCAGCACUCCUGUGAUUUAUAAAUGGGGAACAGAGGAGCCAAAUCCUUCCAUAGCUGGUAAAAAAGUCUAUUGGAGGAACAUCGAUUUAGAAGUAUUCUUCAUAUACUUAAAAAGUCACAUUCCUAACACUAAUCUCUCUUGACUGUAGUCAGCAAAAGGUAAUUUCAAGGCUUCUAGAUCCAGAAUGCUUUCGGAUGUUAGACAUACUCUUGUUUAAACUCUCUGAGUAGUACAUUUGUCUUAUUGUAGACUGCUGUUAUCCCACACUAAGAAUAAUUACAGGAUAGUCAUUUGUCAGUUCUUGAAGUCAAGAGAGCUCUUUUAGAAUAGCCUAUUUGCUUUUUAAAAACAAUAUCGGUCUCGGUCUCAUUUAGGCAAUUUCAAACCCAACAGAGCAUGUCAGUUUUAAUGACAGCUUUAGUGGGCAGUUUAGACAGUUGGUAUCUGUUAAGUUUAUCCUGAGCUGGGCAUGGUAGCACACCCCUGUGACCACGACACUUGGGACAUGGAGGCAGAAGGAUGGUGAGUUCAAGGCCAGCCUAGCCUGCAUAGUGAGACUCUGUCUCAAAAAAAAAAAGUCUGUGCAACCCCAAGGUCCUGAGUUCAAUCCCCGGUACCAAAAAAAAAAAAAAAAGCAAGUCUAGUCUGAAUUGCCCUUGUACCAAUAUGGUGCAGAAUUGUCAGGUAGCAUCAAAGGUUAGAAUGCUUCAGGUAACCAGUGAGAACAGAAGAGGCUGAGUUGGUUUGUGUUUGUUUCCUCUGUCUUGAGUUCCCCUCAUGGUUCCCUUGUUACCUCACACCAAGUGAACAACACUUAAAGAACUCACAAGUAACUCCUUCGUGUCAAGUUCAGUACACAUAGCUGAAAUCUGUAAGCCGUUAUCUCAACUACCAAUAAGUUGUUUUUAAAAAAUACAUUAGACUCCAAACUAACCAAAGGACUUCUUAUUUAGUGCGCUCUGUGCCUUGGCACAUGGAAGCUGUGAGCCGAAACUGGCAGGAAGAGGAGCGCUGCGGUUUCAGCACACUCUGCGUCUGCUGCCUUGUCUGGAGAACACAAGAUCAUAAUAGCAAUGCAGUGUCACAAAUGUUUCAUUAAAAAUUUUCCAUUCAGAGAAGCCAUGGUUUGUUAGAGCAACGAAGUAUUUCUAAUAUGGAACAAGGAAAGGAAAAGUGGGGAAGCAGAGAGAGUUUGGACUAAAGUGGGUGUGUUUGAGUUGUGAGAAUUCUACCCAGAAGUCUCCUUGUCCACAGAGAAACAAGUAUUACCUAAGAUGUGAAAGUGGUAGCCAUACCUUGAAGCACAGCAUUGUACAUAAGUAAAUAUCUUGAUUCUAAAUUAAAUUCAGAUUUAACUAAUAUAUAUUAUUUUAUAUUUUUGUUGUAUUAAAAUGUUUAAAAACACUAAAAAUAAAACAUUUGAAAGUUGGAUUGCAA
RNAcentral lists this long non-coding RNA (2080 nucleotides) under Heterocephalus glaber (naked mole-rat). RNAcentral describes it as "lncRNA (ENSHGLG00000046749.1)". Lineage: Eukaryota; Metazoa; Chordata; Mammalia; Rodentia; Bathyergidae. The record is from RNAcentral.